Molecule: unclassified non-coding RNA, 1679 nt
Filed under: Hevea brasiliensis (rubber tree)
Lineage: Eukaryota; Viridiplantae; Streptophyta; Magnoliopsida; Malpighiales; Euphorbiaceae
Source: RNAcentral
CAAACAGCACGCUUCCUGUAAGUCAAAGAUCCAAGGUUUCAGAGGAAAUUAAAGAGAUUGGUGUUGAUCAAAACUCAGCAAAUAAUGGUGGUUUCCUGAGCCUUAAUGAUAAGUUCAGUGACAAAGAUUCAGAGAAAGUAUUGAUCCAAUUAGAAAAUGGAGAUGAUAGCAGCCAGUCAGGCUCCUUCACUCAUGUUGACAAAGAUGGUGUUGGAUCUCAAUUAGGAGAAGAGGGAGCCACAGGAACAGCUUCUGCCUACAGACCUUCUUCACAUCCCUUGACUGCCCCUUCGCCUCUUUCUGGUCUACCUGAAUUUUCACACUUGGGCUGGGGUCAUUGGUUUACCCUCAGAGAUCUGCAAGUUGCAACAAACCGGUUUUCCAAGGAUAAUAUAAUUGGUGAUGGUGGAUAUGGAGUUGUUUAUCAGGGACAUCUGACGAAUGGUACUCCUGUGGCUGUCAAGAAGCUCCUGAACAAUCCAGGACAAGCUGAUAAGGAUUUUAGAGUUGAAGUAGAGGCUAUUGGUCACGUGAGGCAUAAAAACCUAGUUCGACUUCUUGGAUAUUGCAUUGAAGGAACCCAGAGGUUGCUGGUAUAUGAGUAUGUGAAUAAUGGCAAUUUAGAGCAAUGGCUCCAUGGGGCCAUGCGCCAGCAUGGUUAUCUUACUUGGGAGGCUCGCAUGAAAAUUCUACUUGGCACUGCUAAGGCGCUGGCUUAUUUGCACGAGGCCAUUGAGCCAAAGGUGGUGCACCGUGACAUAAAAUCAAGCAACAUAUUAAUUGAUGACAACUUUGAAGCUAAAAUAUCUGAUUUUGGUCUGGCCAAAUUGCUGGGUGCUGGAAAAAGUCAUAUCACGACUAGAGUAAUGGGUACAUUUGGUUACGUGGCUCCAGAAUAUGCAAAUUCUGGUCUUCUGAAUGAGAAGAGUAGUGACGUUUAUAGCUUUGGAGUUGUGCUCUUGGAAGCAAUUACUGGAAGAGAUCCAGUGGAUUACAGUCGUCCUGAGAAUGAGGUAAAUCUGGUGGAGUGGUUGAAGAUGAUGGUUGCAAGAAGGCGUUCAGAAGAGGUUGUAGACCCAAUGAUUGAGACAAGGCCUUCAACAAGUGCUCUUAAACGAGCUCUUCUAACUGCUUUAAGAUGCGUUGAUCCAGAUUCUGAAAAAAGACCAAAGAUGAGUCAAGUAGUUCGCAUGCUUGAAUCAGAGGAAUAUCCUAUACCGAGAGAGGAUCGAAGACACAGAAGGAGCCAGGCUGGGGUCACUGAGACCAAGUCUCUAAAGGAGAAUUCAGAUACUGACAGGAAAGACAAUCCAGAUUCGAAGACAGAUGGUCAACAGAGCCAUCGAGCAUAGGCAUGGGAAUUGUUUGUAAAUCUGAAUAUAUGCACAAUGGUAAAGCACACAUUCUUUAGACCUUCCAAAAUCUUGGCAUGUCUUGUCUGACAAUUGUGGUUGAGGAGAGGGAGCUAAGCCAAAGCACUGGAGGGUUUGGAUAUUCUGGAUGGUUUCUCUUUUAAAAAUUUUAGUAUUUACUUACAGACGGUGUAGAGAAGAUUAGUUUGUCUGAAAGUUGCAUUGUCAAAGGACACCCUUGCCAGGAGUGGUGUGUACAGAUCUUGGUGAUUUUGGUUUCAAUUUUGGUUUUUAAAAUAUAUAUAUAUUUCCCUCAAAAAAAAAAAA